GAUGAAGAACGUAGCGAAAUGCGAUAAGUAGUGUGAAUUGCAGAAUUCCGUGAAUCAUCGAGUCUUUGAACGCACAUUGCGCCUCAUGGCAUUCCGUGAGGCAUGCCCAUCUCAGCGUUAGAAAAUAUUCUCAAAUUUUAGUUUUGUGCUAAAAUUUGGAUCAUGUCAAGGAAGCUAUUACUAUUAUUGUGAUCGCUCUUUGGAAAUUGAUAGGUCUUUGAGUUGCUACUCAUAGAACGUGAUGAAUCUUUCUUCGUUCUAUUGUAAUUCACUCUGGUAGUCCUAAAACUUGUAUGCCUGUGGCAUAUCUUGUAAUUUGACCUGAGAUUGGGUAGGGAUACCCGCUGAACUUAAGCAUAUCAAAAGCGGAGGA
RNAcentral lists this unclassified non-coding RNA (373 nucleotides) under soil metagenome. RNAcentral describes it as "partial contains internal transcribed spacer 2 and large subunit ribosomal RNA". The stretch from base 1 to 120 matches the Rfam family "5.8S ribosomal RNA", at positions 35 to 154 of the family's 154-position model. The record is from RNAcentral.